RNAcentral lists this non-coding RNA (45 nucleotides) under Trichobilharzia regenti. The record is from RNAcentral. Lineage: Eukaryota; Metazoa; Platyhelminthes; Trematoda; Strigeidida; Schistosomatidae.
AUCCAGAUGACGAGUCCCAAAUUAGACGAUAUCCGCAUCCUGGAU